This 520-nucleotide ribosomal RNA is filed under the name uncultured Gigaspora. RNAcentral's name for it is "SSU rRNA". It matches the Rfam family "Eukaryotic small subunit ribosomal RNA", at positions 569 to 1090 of the family's 1831-position model. The record is from RNAcentral. Lineage: Eukaryota; Fungi; Glomeromycota; Glomeromycetes; Diversisporales; Gigasporaceae.
AGCAGCCGCGGUAAUUCCAGCUCCAAUAGCGUAUAUUAAAGUUGUUGCAGUUAAAAAGCUCGUAGUUGAAUUUCGGGGUUCUACCGUUGGUCGGGCAAUUGUCUGUACUGGCGUGUGGAAUUUCUACCUUCUGGGGAACCAUCAUGUUAUUAAUUUAGCGUGGUGGGAAACCAGGACCUUUACCUUGAAAAAAUUAGAGUGUUCAAAGCAGGCUUACGUCUGAAUACAUUAGCAUGGAAUAAUAAAAUAGGACGGUGGUCCUGUUUUGUUGGUUUCUGAAUCACCGUAAUGAUUAAUAGGGAUAGUUGGGGGCAUUAGUAUUCAAUUGUCAGAGGUGAAAUUCUUGGAUUUAUUGAAGACUAAACUUCUGCGAAAGCAUUUGCCAAGGAUGUUUUUCAUUAAUCUAAGAACGAAAGUUAGGGGGAUCGAAGACGAUCAGAUACCGUCGUAGUCUUAACCAUAAACUAUGCCGACUAGGGAUCGGACGAUGUUAAUUUUUCUUGACUCGUUCGCGCCUUCG